This 397-nucleotide ribosomal RNA is filed under the name uncultured bacterium. RNAcentral describes it as "partial 16S ribosomal RNA". It matches the Rfam family "Bacterial small subunit ribosomal RNA", at positions 523 to 918 of the family's 1533-position model. The record is from RNAcentral.
AUACGUAGGGGGCGAGCGUUGUCCGGAGUGAUUGGGCGUAAAGGGCGCGUAGGCGGCGCGGUAAGUCUGGAGUGAAAGUCCUGCUUUCAAGGUGGGAAUUGCUUUGGAUACUGCCGCGCUUGAGUGCAGGAGAGGUUAUCGGAAUUCCCGGUGUAGCGGUGAAAUGCGUAGAGAUCGGGAGGAACGCCAGUGGCGAAGGCGGGUAACUGGACUGCAACUGACGCUGAGGCGCGAAAGUGUGGGGAGCAAACAGGAUUAGAUACCCUGGUAGUCCACACUGUAAACGAUGAAUGCUAGGUGUAAGAGGUAUCGACCCCUUUUGUGCCGCAGUUAACACAAUAAGUAUUCCGCCUGGGGAGUACGGCCGCAAGGUUGAAACUUAAAGGAAUUGACGGGG